This 322-nucleotide RNase P RNA is filed under the name Erysipelotrichaceae bacterium. Its description in RNAcentral is "RNase P RNA component class B". It matches the Rfam family "Bacterial RNase P class B". Rfam says of the family: Ribonuclease P (RNase P) is a ubiquitous endoribonuclease, found in archaea, bacteria and eukarya as well as chloroplasts and mitochondria. Its best characterised activity is the generation of mature 5'-ends of tRNAs by cleaving the 5'-leader elements of precursor-tRNAs. Lineage: Bacteria; Bacillati; Bacillota; Erysipelotrichia; Erysipelotrichales; Erysipelotrichaceae. The record is from RNAcentral.
CGUUCCGGAUAACUGCUGAUAUAAGUCAGAGGAAAGUCCAUACUCGCAUUAACUGAGAUGUUAAUAGUGUUUGUGCAAGAGGAAAAAAUAACUCUUGGCAUAGCAAUAUGACGGCUCUAAAUAACCUAAAAGCGAUCAUGGUUAGGAAGACUAAGGUGCCACAGAGACGAGUUUGUUAGAAAUAGCAAAGUGAAACGCGGUAAACCCCACAAGCGAGAAACUCAAAUUUUGGUAGGGGAAGUUAGUUAAGAGAAAUGAAUCUUGACUAGCAGGCUAAUUGCCUAGAUAAAUAGUUAUCGAUUACAGAAUAUGGCUUAUAGGA